Long non-coding RNA from Papio anubis (olive baboon), 5666 nucleotides. The record is from Ensembl. NCBI's taxonomy places the organism in Eukaryota, Metazoa, Chordata, Mammalia, Primates, Cercopithecidae.
GUUCCUGCCAAUACAAUUGAACCCUGAGCCUUUACUCAACAACCAGGGUGACCCGAGGCUCCCAGCAACCCCUAGCUCCAGGGUCCACAUACGUCAUGUCCCCCACUGAACCCCAGGGAAGACUGAAACUCAAAGGAGACCAGAGAGUUUCUGCAAGCCGGAAAGGUGUGAAACAGAUGCUGGGGUGGAGAGUCCCAGAGGAUGGGGAUAGACCUGUGCAAGUUUCUGCCACCAAUUUGUGGAUUCAAGUUUGAUCCCUCAUUUGCAAAUGUCUGUGUAAAAGACUCCAUUUCCCAUUGAACUCAAUGGAACAUGACUUAGCUGGCUGGACAAAGCAUCCUGAGGAGAAUAGCAGCUUGCCCGGGACAUCACAGGAAACUUACAGGACCCCUAAAUGAGUCCCACUGCUCAAAGGCAGGAGGACUGUGUGGAGGGACGGGAUCCCACAGCCACACCAAGAAAGCCUCUUCAGACCCUGAGAAAGAAGAGAGAGGCAGGGAGAGCACAAGUGCUGCUUGGCUCAUUUCAACCAGGGGCUCCUGAAGGAUUGCAGAGCACUGCAGAGGCACUCCAUGUACUGAAACAGCUGAACCACAAGAGGAGUUCCCUGAGGCUCUUGCCGCUGGUCAGCACUGCUCAAGUGACACACAACGCAUUCCCAACUCCCAACUCCCUCUUUCCUUGCCUUUUUCUCAUAACACAAGUAUGUGUGUGUGUGUAUGCAUGUCUGUGUGUAUAGAUACAAAUGUAGAUAUACAGUAUAUAAAACCUUACAGCACAACACAGUAUAACGUAGCAAGUGAUAAUACCAUACAAUAUAAUAUCCUUAUAUACCACCAUUGAGAUCAAGACACUGGAUCUCAACCAACUUUUGGACAACAGUCCGUUUUACCAACUCCAGUUCACUGGAAGUCCAGAGCAACGUUGCUCUGAGAUCUCUGCCCCUACCAUCAUUCUCUGAGGAAAUACCAGUUGUACUUCCCAUCAGUACUCCAAAUGUUCUUUGUGGAUAGAUUUUUUUCUUCUCACUUCACAAAACCAGGAGCUUCCAGGUUACAUGUACAGCCAAUCAUCAAUAGGCUCCCCAGCUUUGGCAAACAGUUCAUCCCAGAUCACGUCUUCCAUUCAGCAAAAGCAGGUUCACACUUGCAGAUGGUGGAAGAGUCUCCUCUAAGUGCCACUGGCCCUUCUGCCUCCCUUUUUGACUCCCUAUUUGCCUCCUCAUCUUCUCCUGCUGCUAAUGUUAUAAGAAUGAGCUGUUCUUAAUGAGAACACAUGGACACAGGGAGGGAGACAUCACACCCUGGGUCCUGUCGUGGGGGCCGGGGACAAGGGGAGGAAGAGCAUUAGAACCAAUACCUAACGCAUGCGGAGCUUAAAACCAAGAUGAUGGGUUGAUAGGUGCAGCAAACCACCGUGACACAUGUAUACUUAAAGUAAAAACAUAAAAUAAAAUAAAAUAAGAAUGAACUGUUCUCCCACACUCUCACCUUCACCUAUGUCUAGAUGUUGAUCCCUAACUCUCCCUGUAUAAUAAAGAAGAAAAAUUUUGCCAAAAGUGCUCAAAUAUCUCUGGGCAUUCAAAUCAUCCAUUCAGGCUACAAAAUCUGAACUUGUGGAUCACCCAAGCCAUCACCAUCACCCCUAAGUCACCCCCAUCUCCUAUUGCGACUACAACUCCUGGUGGGCUCAAUGCUACAUCUGACUGUGUCAAAUUUCUUCAAGAGGUCUCCCGUUUAUUCGUUCAUUCUCAAAUGUUUGUUGAAUAGCACUAAGAGCUAGGUGCUGGACUGGGUGUGGUGGCUCACAUCUGUAAUCCCAGCACUUUGGGAGGCAGAAGCUGGCGGAUCAAUUGAGGUCAGGGGUUCGAGACCAACCUGGCCAAAAUGGUGAAACCCCAUCUCUACUAAAAACACAAAAAUUAGCCAGGCAUGGUGGCGAGCACCUGUAAUCCCAGCUACUUGGGAGGUUGAGGCAGGAGAAUUGCUUGAACCCGGAAGGCAGAGGUUGCAGUGAGCCGAACUCCUGCCUGGGCAACAAGAGCAAAACUCUGUCAGAAAAAAAAAAGAGCCAGUUGCUGUUUGUCCUAGGCCACAGUAAUCAGGCCAGUAAGUAAAACUGACAAAGACCCUGCCCUCCUGAAUCUUACAUUCUGAUGGGGGAGAAAGAUAAGAUAAUAAACAAAUGCUGCAUAAUAGAGGCUCAUGAGUACAAAAGAUAAAAGCAGAACCAGUGAAGAGAAUAGAGGAGGACCCAGUGGAUAUCACUUCAGAUGUUGAGGGGCUGGUCAGAAAAGCCUUUCUGAAGGGGAGACCCUGGUGGGGGGUUGCAGUGCAAUGUGAGAGCAUGGCAUGAGGGUAUGGCAUGGCAUGAGGCUCACCUAUGAAAACAAUUCUCAAUUCUCCUUGGCAGUGGAAGGCAGUCAUACAUAUUAAACUCCCUUUAUUAUUGCAACGGGGAACAUCUGUCACAUCCUUUUACACCCGUCAACGCAUUUGCUUCUCACAAGUCCAUGGGGUAUGAUUCACAUUUUAAAAUGCUGCAAUGGAAGCCUCAAGAGGGGAAGGGACUACCCAAGGCCAUUCAGAGAAAACCCAGUGGCAGAGCUGGAUUAGAACCCAGAUCUUCUCGUGACCAGCCAAGCACUUCCUAGGAGAAUAGAUCUUGUUAAACAGUCUUAACCUCGGGUAUGUUUGGCUUAAGACUUCCAUCAGAGGUAUGUGCCUCAGAACUGACAAAAGUGCUCACGUACAUAUCACUGUCUGUGCGGCCCUCAUUCCCUUCCAGCGUGACCUGAAACUGCUGCAUGGUUACAGAUGGGCUAAUGAGUUACUGAAUUACCAUAAGUACCCUACUCUUUGGUAAAUAGGAGCUGGCUAUAGUCAAUAAAAAACUCAAGAGAAAGGAGAUAAAGAGCAGCAUGUGCAAACUACGUGUACUACAUUUGCUAAAACUAUGAGUCCUAUGUAACUUUGGACAAAUCUUUUUCCAUCUUUGACCUCAGUUUUCUCUUUUGUAAAAAGAACAUUUUAAAUUAGGUGAUCACCAAGUUUCUCUCUGUUUCUGGCAUCCUACAAUCCCAUGCAAACAUAUAGAUUUGAGUAAGGACCCUAAGCAAGCCCUUUGGGGAUGUGCCACGUUGUACCUGGCUAGAGAGACUCUCCUGGCUAGAGAUACUACCUUCCGUGAUUCCUUUUCCCAACAGAGGUGCUCUUCCAAGGCUAAAACACUUCCUAAGAUUUUCUGAGGUAAAGGAUGAAGUAUGUUGAUGUCUUCUAAAUCAGUGUUCGUUGUUGAUUGGAAAACUGAGGCAAGGUAAAGCCUUUGGGGAUGAGGAUGAGAAUAAAAGGGAGGAGCAGGAAGGGGGCAGAAAACAAGAAAUGGAGAAGAAAGAUAAGGUAAAGAAAAGGAGAUAGAAGUGGUGGUGGUGGGUGAUAGAGGGGUAGGAGCAGGGACAGGAGAUGUCCUAGAAAACUAUUUCCUAAGCUUUGUGAUUUGCUUCUUGUAUAAGGCAUAUAGGCUUCAUUAAUAAGAAAGAGUGUGUGUGUGUGUAUGUGUGUGUGUGUGUGUGUAUUCUGAAGUGUGCAUUAAUCAUACUGGCGAUGAGCAGAUGAAAUCAGUGAUUCCCCCAACUUCCUCUGAAAUUUACUGGAAAGACCACAUAUAUGAUGUUUCUUCAAACUGGCACCAAUAUAUUCAUCCUUCGUGCAGCGGUUUCCUAUUAAGGUUUCCAGGAUAGUUUCCUAUUAUGAUCACUCCUCACUCUGGGAUGCACCCCCAUAUUCUCUUUUCUUAUCCAACCCCAUCACUGGUGUCUCCUGCUCUCCUGGAGGAGCAAGUUUUGUUUCAUCCCCUUAGCUAGCUUCAGCCAGGGAAAGCUUUCAUGUCUCAGCUUUCACACUCUUUCUGUAAGCAUUCUCUGUGAAGGAAAAAACAUGUUUUCCUCUGCUUUCACACUACAACAUCAACACAGAAGGCUUCGGUGACCAAAUGUGUCCAAGUUUUUCCCCACAAAUCAAGCAAACAGUCAAUUCUGCAGCAGAUACCAGCUGGGUGUCCUUGAAUUCAAUUCAAUCCUGACACCAUCUGCCUGGAAGUAGCAUCAGAUCCCACAAGUUGAGGGUUCAGCCCCACAAGACUGCCUCCCUCUACUUCAGACACCAAUCUCAAUUAAAAAGUUGUCACCUAUACUUCUAUCUGAUCAGUUAUAAAUUGGGGACCCCUUGACCCCCUUUUGGGAUUUGAUUAAUUUGCUAGAGCAGCUCACAGAACUCAGAGAAACAGUUGAUUACAUUUACCAGUGUAUCAUAAAGGAUAUUACAAAGAAUACAAUGAAGAGGUGCAUAGGGCAAGGUAUGGGGGAAGGGACAUGGAGCUUCCAUACCUACCCUGAGUGCACUGCCCUCCAGGAACCCCUACGUGUUCAGCUAUCCAGAAGUACCUGGAACUCAGUCCUUUUGGGUUUCUAUGGAAGCUUCAUUACAAAGGCAUGAUUGAUUACAACAUUGGUCAUUGAUCAUCAAUUCAACUUUUAUCCUUUUUCUCCUUCCCAGUGGCUGGUGGAUGGGGCUGAAAUUCCCAACUCUCUAAUCCUGCCUUGGUCUUUCCUGUGACUAGCUCCCAUCCUGAAGCUACCUAAGGACCCCCAGCCACCAGUUAUCUCAUUAGCAUACAGAAGGACACAUCACUUGGGAGAGUCCAUGGAUUUUAGGAGUUAUAUCCCAGGAAAUAGGAGGAAGACCAAAUACAUAUUUCACAAUAUCACAUUUGUUAUUCCACUUUCUUCUUUCUGGUUUCUUUUCCCACUGAGGUCUUUCUACUCAUUUGUCUAGGUGCACCUUUACCUGCACCUAGAGCAUUCCAAUCCUACAGAAAUAAUCUUCAGAUUGGCUGUGUGUACCUCUCUGGGGAACCAAAGACUUUCCAGAGGGAUACACAAAUGUGAAUAAAUUGGGAAUCAUUUUCCAUAUCCUUGACUCCACAAAUGCUCUUGAACUUGCUCCCCCCCAAGCCUGCCAUUCUGCAUCUGCACUUCCCUUUCACAGACAACAUUUUCCCUACUUGACAAAAUAUGGCAUAUUUCUUGCCCACUCAGAUGUUGCUUUGGAACAUACUUUGAUGAGUAUAAAUCUCUAGGAUAUCAAACAAGGGGACAAUUCAAUAAUGCAUGGCUCCUGAAACGAACCCUUUGACAGCAAAACAAUGAGGUCUUUAGUAAGAAUUAUUGAAGGGCCAGAACCUUAUUUCUUCCAAAACAAAAAACAAAAAUAAAAACAAACAAACAAACAAACAAAAAACAAAAAACAAUGAAUGGCAUAGCUCUGUGCCUUUAACUGUGUGUCUAUAUACCUGUCUGUGAGUUAGGAAUGGAUGGUUGCCACAGGGAUGCACCAAUUUGAGUUGAAAUUUUAAGUCAUAUUUUUUUUCUGGCAAAAAAAAUAAAAUAAAAUAAGGCUGGCUGAUUGUCUGACUGUGCGAACUGCCUUUGCCAAAGUGAUUUUAUAUGACUGGGCAUUUUCAAAAACUGAAUGAGUUCUAAGGUUAUGACAAAAAUAUUUAAAGCACAUAUACAAUAUGUCAGAAAUUACAACAUCUGCAACUAUUAAACUUAUAAUGAAAAUGUUUUAGAUGUUGUGAUAGAUUGUAUUUUUGUUUCUAUUUGCUGC